RNAcentral lists this ribosomal RNA (253 nucleotides) under uncultured bacterium. RNAcentral's name for it is "partial 16S ribosomal RNA". It matches the Rfam family "Bacterial small subunit ribosomal RNA", at positions 524 to 776 of the family's 1533-position model. The record is from RNAcentral.
UACGGAGGAUGCAAGCGUUAUCCGGAAUGAUUGGGCGUAAAGCGUCCGCAGGUGGCUGUGUAAGUCUGCUGUUAAAGAGUGAGGCUCAACCUCAUAAAGGCAGUGGAAACUACAUGGCUAGAGUGCGUUCGGGGCAGAGGGAAUUCCUGGUGUAGCGGUGAAAUGCGUAGAGAUCAGGAAGAACACCGGUGGCGAAAGCGGCUUCCUGGUCCAGCACCGACGUUCAGGCACGAAAGCGUGGGGAGCAAACAGG